UGAUACGUAGGGUCCGAGCGUUGUCCGGAAUUAUUGGGCGUAAAGGGCUUGUAGGCGGUUUGUCACGUCGAAAGUGAAAACUCAGGGCUCAACCCUGAGCCUGCUUCCGAUACGGGCAAACUAGAGGGAUGCAGGGGAGAAUGGAAUUCCUGGUGGAGCGGUGGAAUGCGCAGAUAUCAGGAGGAACACCGGUGGCGAAGGCGGUUCUCUGGGCAUUUCCUGACGCUGAGAAGCGA
Molecule: ribosomal RNA, 236 nt
Filed under: uncultured bacterium
Lineage: Bacteria
Description: partial 16S ribosomal RNA
Rfam family: Bacterial small subunit ribosomal RNA
Source: RNAcentral